CAGAGGGUGCGAGCGUUGUCCGGAAUCACUGGGCGUAAAGGGCGCGUAGGUGGCCUGGUAAGUAGGGGGUGAAAUCUCGAGGCUCAACUUCGAGGCUGCCUCCUAAACUGUCAGGCUUGAGCAGAGUAGGGGCAGGUGGAAUUCCCGGUGUAGCGGUGGAAUGCGUAGAGAUCGGGAAGAACAUCGGUGGCGAAGGCGGCCUGCUGGGCUCUUGCUGACACUGAUGCGCGACAGCGUGGGGAGCAAACAGGAUUAGAUACCCUGGUAGUCCACGCCGUAAACGAUGGGUACUAGGCGCCGGGGGGAGCGACCCCUUCGGUGCCGUCGCUAACGCAAUAAGUACCCCGCCUGGGGAGUACGGCCGCAAGGCUG
RNAcentral lists this ribosomal RNA (372 nucleotides) under uncultured organism. Its description in RNAcentral is "bacterial SSU rRNA". It matches the Rfam family "Bacterial small subunit ribosomal RNA", at positions 526 to 896 of the family's 1533-position model. The record is from RNAcentral.